This 2789-nucleotide ribosomal RNA is filed under the name Escherichia coli. Its description in RNAcentral is "bacterial LSU rRNA". It matches the Rfam family "Bacterial large subunit ribosomal RNA". The record is from RNAcentral. Lineage: Bacteria; Pseudomonadati; Pseudomonadota; Gammaproteobacteria; Enterobacterales; Enterobacteriaceae.
AGCGUACACGGUGGAUGCCCUGGCAGUCAGAGGCGAUGAAGGACGUGCUAAUCUGCGAUAAGCGUCGGUAAGGUGAUAUGAACCGUUAUAACCGGCGAUUUCCGAAUGGGGAAACCCAGUGUGAUUCGUCACACUAUCAUUAACUGAAUCCAUAGGUUAAUGAGGCGAACCGGGGGAACUGAAACAUCUAAGUACCCCGAGGAAAAGAAAUCAACCGAGAUUCCCCCAGUAGCGGCGAGCGAACGGGGAGCAGCCCAGAGCCUGAAUCAGUGUGUGUGUUAGUGGAAGCGUCUGGAAAGACGCGCGAUACAGGGUGACAGCCCCGUACACAAAAAUGCACAUGCUGUGAGCUCGAUGAGUAGGGCGGGACACGUGGUAUCCUGUCUGAAUAUGGGGGGACCAUCCUCCAAGGCUAAAUACUCCUGACUGACCGAUAGUGAACCAGUACCGUGAGGGAAAGGCGAAAAGAACCCCGGCGAGGGGAGUGAAAAAGAACCUGAAACCGUGUACGUACAAGCAGUGGGAGCACAGAGCAAUCUGUGUGACUGCGUACCUUUUGUAUAAUGGGUCAGCGACUUAUAUUCUGUAGCAAGGUUAACCGAAUAGGGGAGCCGAAGGGAAACCGAGUCUUAACUGGGCGUUAAGUUGCAGGGUAUAGACCCGAAACCCGGUGAUCUAGCCAUGGGCAGGUUGAAGGUUGGGUAACACUAACUGGAGGACCGAACCGACUAAUGUUGAAAAAUUAGCGGAUGACUUGUGGCUGGGGGUGAAAGGCCAAUCAAACCGGGAGAUAGCUGGUUCUCCCCGAAAGCUAUUUAGGUAGCGCCUCGUGAAUUCAUCUCCGGGGGUAGAGCACUGUUUCGGCAAGGGGGUCAUCCCGACUUACCAACCCGAUGCAAACUGCGAAUACCGGAGAAUGUUAUCACGGGAGACACACGGCGGGUGCUAACGUCCGUCGUGAAGAGGGAAACAACCCAGACCGCCAGCUAAGGUCCCAAAGUCAUGGUUAAGUGGGAAACGAUGUGGGAAGGCCCAGACAGCCAGGAUGUUGGCUUAGAAGCAGCCAUCAUUUAAAGAAAGCGUAAUAGCUCACUGGUCGAGUCGGCCUGCGCGGAAGAUGUAACGGGGCUAAACCAUGCACCGAAGCUGCGGCAGCGACGCUUAUGCGUUGUUGGGUAGGGGAGCGUUCUGUAAGCCUGUGAAGGUGUACUGUGAGGUAUGCUGGAGGUAUCAGAAGUGCGAAUGCUGACAUAAGUAACGAUAAAGCGGGUGAAAAGCCCGCUCGCCGGAAGACCAAGGGUUCCUGUCCAACGUUAAUCGGGGCAGGGUGAGUCGACCCCUAAGGCGAGGCCGAAAGGCGUAGUCGAUGGGAAACAGGUUAAUAUUCCUGUACUUGGUGUUACUGCGAAGGGGGGACGGAGAAGGCUAUGUUGGCCGGGCGACGGUUGUCCCGGUUUAAGCGUGUAGGCUGGUUUUCCAGGCAAAUCCGGAAAAUCAAGGCUGAGGCGUGAUGACGAGGCACUACGGUGCUGAAGCAACAAAUGCCCUGCUUCCAGGAAAAGCCUCUAAGCAUCAGGUAACAUCAAAUCGUACCCCAAACCGACACAGGUGGUCAGGUAGAGAAUACCAAGGCGCUUGAGAGAACUCGGGUGAAGGAACUAGGCAAAAUGGUGCCGUAACUUCGGGAGAAGGCACGCUGAUAUGUAGGUGAAGUCCCUCGCGGAUGGAGCUGAAAUCAGUCGAAGAUACCAGCUGGCUGCAACUGUUUAUUAAAAACACAGCACUGUGCAAACACGAAAGUGGACGUAUACGGUGUGACGCCUGCCCGGUGCCGGAAGGUUAAUUGAUGGGGUUAGCGCAAGCGAAGCUCUUGAUCGAAGCCCCGGUAAACGGCGGCCGUAACUAUAACGGUCCUAAGGUAGCGAAAUUCCUUGUCGGGUAAGUUCCGACCUGCACGAAUGGCGUAAUGAUGGCCAGGCUGUCUCCACCCGAGACUCAGUGAAAUUGAACUCGCUGUGAAGAUGCAGUGUACCCGCGGCAAGACGGAAAGACCCCGUGAACCUUUACUAUAGCUUGACACUGAACAUUGAGCCUUGAUGUGUAGGAUAGGUGGGAGGCUUUGAAGUGUGGACGCCAGUCUGCAUGGAGCCGACCUUGAAAUACCACCCUUUAAUGUUUGAUGUUCUAACGUUGACCCGUAAUCCGGGUUGCGGACAGUGUCUGGUGGGUAGUUUGACUGGGGCGGUCUCCUCCUAAAGAGUAACGGAGGAGCACGAAGGUUGGCUAAUCCUGGUCGGACAUCAGGAGGUUAGUGCAAUGGCAUAAGCCAGCUUGACUGCGAGCGUGACGGCGCGAGCAGGUGCGAAAGCAGGUCAUAGUGAUCCGGUGGUUCUGAAUGGAAGGGCCAUCGCUCAACGGAUAAAAGGUACUCCGGGGAUAACAGGCUGAUACCGCCCAAGAGUUCAUAUCGACGGCGGUGUUUGGCACCUCGAUGUCGGCUCAUCACAUCCUGGGGCUGAAGUAGGUCCCAAGGGUAUGGCUGUUCGCCAUUUAAAGUGGUACGCGAGCUGGGUUUAGAACGUCGUGAGACAGUUCGGUCCCUAUCUGCCGUGGGCGCUGGAGAACUGAGGGGGGCUGCUCCUAGUACGAGAGGACCGGAGUGGACGCAUCACUGGUGUUCGGGUUGUCAUGCCAAUGGCACUGCCCGGUAGCUAAAUGCGGAAGAGAUAAGUGCUGAAAGCAUCUAAGCACGAAACUUGCCCCGAGAUGAGUUCUCCCUGACUCCUUGA